RNAcentral lists this small nuclear RNA (160 nucleotides) under Amphiprion ocellaris (clown anemonefish). RNAcentral's name for it is "U1 spliceosomal RNA". It matches the Rfam family "U1 spliceosomal RNA". From Rfam's summary of the family: U1 is a small nuclear RNA (snRNA) component of the spliceosome (involved in pre-mRNA splicing). Its 5' end forms complementary base pairs with the 5' splice junction, thus defining the 5' donor site of an intron. There are significant differences in sequence and secondary structure between metazoan and yeast U1 snRNAs, the latter being much longer (568 nucleotides as compared to 164 nucleotides in human). Lineage: Eukaryota; Metazoa; Chordata; Actinopteri; Pomacentridae. The record is from Rfam by way of RNAcentral.
AUACUUACCUGGCAGGAGAUGCCAUGAUCAGCAGGUGGUUCCACCCAGGUGAGGCCCAACCAUUGCACUCCAUUUAGCUGACACCUGCGAAUUCCCCAAAUGUGGGAAUCUCGACUGCAUAGUUUCUGAUAGUGGGGGACUGCGUUCGCGCUCUCCCCUG